RNAcentral lists this ribosomal RNA (115 nucleotides) under Candidatus Aenigmatarchaeota archaeon. Lineage: Archaea; Nanobdellati; Candidatus Aenigmatarchaeota. The record is from RNAcentral.
GUUGGCGACCAAAACGAAAAGGAAACACCCGUUCCCAUUUCGAACACGGAAGUUAAGUUUUUCGGUGAUCUGAGUUGUACUGCCUUUGGGUGGGAAGUUCAGGACGUUGCCAACU